AUAGUUCAUAAUAACCACAAAUAGCUUUUAUAGACACUGCAAAAAUCUGCUUGAUCACUGGUACUAUUCUUUUUUGUGCCAAGACUUGGACAAGGAAAUUAUAAAGAAAAGGUAGCCAAUGUGAGAGUUUAAAAACAAAAUUAUUCUGAUAGAAAAAUUAACUGGGCUUUUUAUACCUAGUGUCCUCCAUCCAUAAAUUACCCUGGGAAUAUAUUGUUCUUAUGUUGUUGCGUUGCUCCCAUUUUGACACGCCCACUUCCCUACAUUUACUUACAAACAUAGACGAGGAUAAAUCAAAGAAAAGGGACAGGCUUAUAUACAUAAGGGGGCUUCAUUAGAGAAAGCUAAGGACAGGAAAGAGUGCGGUGAUGAAUCGCUGCAGUAAUACAAAGUCAUCUCAAAGUAGACUCUUUGUAACCCUAAUUUGCAUAGGUUUAGUUCUGUUAUGUCGUUUAACUCAAUCAUAGUUCAGAGGAAGCCAAAACUGGUGUUUUGCAGUUUAAAUUUCCACUCUGAUGAAAAUAGUCUUUUCUAUCUUUUUAACAAGUUGUUGUGGCUUUUUUAUGAUGGAGAAAAUAUCAAAAUUAAAUUUAAAAUUAUAUUUUAGUAUUUCUUCGUUUUAAAUCAAAGUGAAUCAGCAGCAGACAAAAAAAAAUGUAGUUUGAAAAAUGUCAUAUUUGUGAUGUAGAAACCGCGAUUCUAAUGCAUCCGCUAGACUAGAUCCGUGUACUGUUUUUUCCACACAAUUAGAUGCACUUAAAAGGCUUAGUUAAAAUAAAAAAUAAAAAAUGGAUCAAAUAUGGUUUGUUUAUUGAUGUUAAAGCAAUUUUAAGAUUUACCCGGUUCAUUUUCACAAUGCUAGUCUGUUUGUUACAUGUGGGAAAAAUGUUUGAGCGUUGGCAUUAAAACACUAAUGUGCAGAGGUAUCAAAAUCUGUAUUUUUUACGUCGUGGGACUUAGCGUAGUCACAGUAACAUUUAUUUUACCGGUAUCGGGGAAAAGAAUGAAAGCUAACAUCAAAAUGCUCUUUCAUUGAUUUACAAUCCUUUACAACUGAGGUCAAAUGAGGUUCACAUUUCCAAAGUCGCAUCAAAAAGCUCAGGGGAGUCUGGUGGAGAUGUUUUCAGCGUUUGUGACGCUGAUUUGACCACGGAAAUGCAAACGGCGGCUUAUUUGACUACAGUCAGUGGGAAGAUACCAUCUUCUCUUUUCCGGAACUUGAACUACACACGCUAGCUACCUAGCUAGCCACAGGUGAGGGUUUAGUGCAUCUGCUGUGACGUAAAGAAGGCUCAUUAAUACAGUUUGACACCAAUUUAAAAUGAGAAAUACUACAAAAUUAAAAUGAUCAUGAAUUUCUGCCGCUCCGAAGGAACUACCGUAUUUUCUGGACUAUAAGCCGCACCUGUAUAUAAGCCGCAUCUGCUCAAUUUAAAAAAAAAGAAGAAAAAAAAAUAAAUACAAGCCGCACUGGGCUAUAAGCCGCAGAUAUCUAUGUUGAAAAAUGUGAUAUUUACUGCAUGUAGAGAACAAUUUUGUAUUUUGAAUGUACAUGUCUGUACCUGCUGUCUCCAGCGUCUCAGCAUAGAUUAAUUGAUGCUAAGCUUGUGUAGAGCAGUGCGGUUUCCUUCCUAGAUAGCAAGCUCCAUGGCCUUCAACUUAAAAUGUGCACCACACAAACUUCUUUGCAGGAUUUCCAUGAUGAAGAAUUGAGGAUUUGAAAAUAAUUACCAGUUAGUAAUUUGUCAUGAGUGUUCUAUCUGUUAAAGAAAAAGUAGCGUUGGCUAUUCUGAUUUACAUAUAUUUUUUGUCUCUUGUUUUUGAUUCUAUUUCCGGUUAGAGCUCCCCUAACAGUGGAAGAAAAAUCCACACAAUAGCCGCACCUUUGUAUAAGCCGCAUGGUUCAAAACCUAGGAAAAAAGUAGCGGCUUAUAGUCCAGAAAAUACGGUAUGUCCAAGAAAAAACGGAUUUCAUAACUGGUUUUACUGGUUAAUGAUCUUCAAAUGUUUUGAGUGAUAGUUGGAAUCUAACACUUCAUCAAGUGCUUUUAUUUACACAAUUUGGUUUUAACUUUUGGAAAAAUAAGUGUUAACUUAGAUUUUAUUUAGAAAAAAUAAUCUGCUUAUUAUUGUGGUAUAUGAUUUACAUAGACUUGACCACUUGGGAACCACACACUGUUAUUUUUUUUUUUUUGGUUAAAAAAGGACUGUCGGCCAGCAUUCAGGAGUUGCCAGAUCUCAUUGUGUUUUGCAGCGGUCUAUUUAUAGACCGCUCUAAUCAAAUCCUGUAAAAGAUUUCAAUCAGGUUGGUCAGAUGUGAAAUCUAAAAGUUGCUAGUUUUCCCUGGAGCUUUAGUUUAAUCUUUCACUUCUAUAAUUUUUGAUUGACUGGCAUAUUGCAUAUAGUCAUGCUUUGUCAGGCCUUGUAUAAAUGGCCAAUUUUCUCAUCAUAGGUUUGCGGUUAAAACUAUAAAGUGUUUUAUUUUUUUUAAACCAAUAUUUUUUUUUUUUAAAUCCAACUUUAAGUUCUUGAUGGAAAAAGUGGUUGUAAACAGCAGACAAAAGAAAAAGGAAAACUCCAUAAAAGUGAAAUAUCUUACAUGUUGCUCUUUAACAGGUGAUCUGUGGUGAGGUCAAAUUUGACAGGAAUUUGAAGGAUUUACAUUUGGGAUUUUAUAUCUAUCAUUUGUUUAAAAAUUCAUCUAUUUUCCAGGAAAACGUAAACUGUAAACACACUAAAUUAAUCAUGUUUUUCUUUCUCCGUAGCUCUUCCUUCCUUUUCUCUUAUUUUUUUCUAUUUUUUUUUUCAUAAAUGGACCCCUGAGUGGUUGCGUCUCCCAGGCCUCAUGCCAUGCUGUCUUUUGAAAGCAAACCUAUGCGGAUGGGCCUUGAACGGCUGCUUCAUCUAGUCAUCCAGGGCCUGACGAGAUUUGACUGGUCCAGUCCCAAUUUGAAAAGACAUAUUGCUUCCAUGCUGCGACUGCCCUGAGGAUGAAGAUGCGCAGUCAGAGCUCUACAAGGUUGAAUGGGAAGUCCCUUGAUGUGGCCACACAAACCUCAAGGGAACGGCAAGACACACCUGCAAGAAACUAUGCGCAAGAAUUUAUAACGCCGAAGCCCAAAACUGGCAUUUACAGGACUUCCAUUCAAAGUGGCCACCAGAACUCGCCUUUUUUCAUUUGUCUUUUAUAUUUAUUUAAAAAAAA
Molecule: long non-coding RNA, 3205 nt
Organism: Oryzias melastigma (Indian medaka)
Lineage: Eukaryota; Metazoa; Chordata; Actinopteri; Beloniformes; Adrianichthyidae
Exons: 3
Source: RefSeq, a predicted model, not a curated record